AUAGCAAUCACUAUAAAUACGUUAACUAAAACAUUCGGUCAUUAUUCUGUUGGUGAAACGAAUUAGAGAAGACUAAUUCAGACUAAAUCCACCAUGGUCCCGGUCAAAUUCUUUAUUGUCGUUAUCCUUGGUCUUGCAGUCACCGAUGCUGCUUAUUAUUACACUCGAUUAUUUAUAUCCAAGUCUAUACCUGUUACAAGUGGUAACACCAGGGUGCCUUUUGAUACAGAAGAAGCCGAUUACGGUAAUCUGUAUGAUGAUGACACAGAGAAACUGACCAUUCACGAUACUGGAAGAUCUUAUUACGAAGUCCAUGUAAAAGUUAGUGAAGUGCAAAAUUCUCGGGUAGAUGUUCUGUUACAAAGCAAUGGUGAAGAGACCGUGAUCGCAACCUGCCAAUUUGAUGACCGUAAUAUGUGCAAAAUUAGCCAGAAAACAUCUUUUAACAAAGGUGACGAGAUCAGUGUCAAUUUGAUAACAGAUGUUGACACUACGAUAGAGAAAGAAGGAACCUACAUCUUCUUGGCCUCGCGUUAAAUUAAUAAGCCUCCAAAGGCAGAAUAAAAUAAAUGAUCAAUUCACAGCACGCAAA
Molecule: long non-coding RNA, 592 nt
Organism: Patella vulgata (common limpet)
Lineage: Eukaryota; Metazoa; Mollusca; Gastropoda; Patellidae
Exons: 4
Source: RefSeq, a predicted model, not a curated record